This 503-nucleotide ribosomal RNA is filed under the name uncultured bacterium. RNAcentral describes it as "partial 16S ribosomal RNA". It matches the Rfam family "Bacterial small subunit ribosomal RNA", at positions 30 to 523 of the family's 1533-position model. The record is from RNAcentral.
AUUGAACGCUGGCGGCAGGCUUAACACAUGCAAGUCGAGCGGGGUGAUGGUGCUUGCACUAUCACUUAGCGGCGGACGGGUGAGUAAUGCUUAGGAAUCUGCCUAUUAGUGGGGGACAACAUCUCGAAAGGGAUGCUAAUACCGCAUACGUCCUACGGGAGAAAGCAGGGGAUCACUUGUGACCUUGCGCUAAUAGAUGAGCCUAAGUCGGAUUAGCUAGUUGGUGGGGUAAAGGCCUACCAAGGCGACGAUCUGUAGCGGGUCUGAGAGGAUGAGCCGCACCACUGGGACUGAGAACCGGCCCAGACUCCUACGGGAGGCAGCAGUGGGGAAAUUUUGACAAUGGGGGGAACCCUGAUCCAGCCAUGCCGCGUGUGUGAAGAAGGCCUUAUGGUUGUAAAGCACUUUAAGCGAGGAGGAGGCUCUUUUGGUUAAUACCCAAGAUGAGUGGACGUUACUCGCAGAAUAAGCACCGGCUAACUCUGUGCCAGCCGCCGCAGUAA